CCUACGGGUGGCAGCAGUGAGGAAUAUUGGGCAAUGGACGAGAGUCUGAACCAGCCAAGUAGCGUGAAGGAUGACUGCCCUAUGGGUUGUAAACUUCUUUUAUAAAGGAAUAAAAUGAGGCACGUAUGCCUUUUUGCAUGUACUUUAUGAAUAAGGAUCGGCUAACUCCGUGCCAGCAGCCGCGGUAAUACGGAGGAUCCGAGCGUUAUCCUGAUUUGUUGGGUUUAAAGGGAGCGUAGGCGGGGUGUUAAGUCAGUUGUGAAAGUUUGCGGCUCAACCGUAAAAUUGCAAUUGAUACUGGCAGUCUUGAGUAGAGUGGAGGUAGGCGGAAUUCGUGGUGUAGCGGGGAAAUGCUUAGAUAUCACGAAGAACCCCGAUUGCGAAGGCAGCUUACUAAACUGUGACUGACACUGAUGCUCGAAAGUGUGGGUAUCAAACAGGAUUAGAUACCCCAGUAGUC
This 460-nucleotide ribosomal RNA is filed under the name uncultured bacterium. Its description in RNAcentral is "partial 16S ribosomal RNA". It matches the Rfam family "Bacterial small subunit ribosomal RNA", at positions 338 to 795 of the family's 1533-position model. The record is from RNAcentral.